This is a non-coding RNA of Pelobates cultripes (western spadefoot toad), 232 nucleotides long. Lineage: Eukaryota; Metazoa; Chordata; Amphibia; Anura; Pelobatidae. The record is from the annotation of a GenBank genome assembly.
GUUUGGUAUAGGCAUCUUUUGGUCACUGACAGAGAUGGAAUUCUUGCCGUAUUCAGACUAUUUGAAAAUACCAAUGAACAAAUUAGAAUACAGAUAUGCAUUAAAGUGUUCCAUUUAAGAGGCUUUCCCUAUAUCAGUUGCUUUUCUCAAUGUCAUGGCUUCUUUUCUAUAGUUACAUGCAGAACAGAGAUUUCCUAGAAUGUUAAUAUGUAUAUCUAAAUUUGCUUCAGAG